AUGAGCCCUUAGUGGGAAGACUUGUUUCCUCUAGUUACUGUCCGCAAGCUAGUGAGAGAUGUUUCAGACCACAAUCCCUUAUUGCUCUCUUUCGGAUCCCAUGAAGAAAAACCCCCUUCACCAGUGAGAUUUUAGAUUUCAGUUGAGUUGGUUAAAAAUGAGGAGUUCUAUGCUAAGGCUAGAAUCAUCUAGGAGCAACUAGUAUAUUCUGAGGAUGCUAUUGAUAUACUUAACAUUAAAUUGAAAUGUAUCAAAAAGUAUUUUAAAGGCUGGGGGUCCCACUCAUUU
RNAcentral lists this ribosomal RNA (288 nucleotides) under Triticum aestivum (bread wheat). RNAcentral's name for it is "partial small subunit ribosomal RNA". The record is from RNAcentral. Lineage: Eukaryota; Viridiplantae; Streptophyta; Magnoliopsida; Poales; Poaceae.